RNAcentral lists this ribosomal RNA (117 nucleotides) under Streptomyces sp. SID8381. The record is from RNAcentral. Lineage: Bacteria; Bacillati; Actinomycetota; Actinomycetes; Kitasatosporales; Streptomycetaceae.
UUCGGUGGUCAUAGCAUCAGGGAAACGCCCGGUCACAUUCCGAACCCGAAAGCUAAGCCUGAUUGCGCCGAUGGUACUGCGAGGGGGACCUCGUGGGAGAGUAGGUCGCUGCCGGGA